AUAACGUUACGGGAAACCGGAGCUAAUACCGGAUAAUAUAUUGAACCGCAUGGUUCAAUAGUGAAAGACGGUUUUGCUGUCACUUAUAGAUGGAUCCGCGCCGCAUUAGCUAGUUGGUAAGGUAACGGCUUACCAAGGCAACGAUGCGUAGCCGACCUGAGAGGGUGAUCGGCCACACUGGAACUGAGACACGGUCCAGACUCCUACGGGAGGCAGCAGCC
RNAcentral lists this ribosomal RNA (221 nucleotides) under uncultured Staphylococcus sp. Its description in RNAcentral is "partial 16S ribosomal RNA". It matches the Rfam family "Bacterial small subunit ribosomal RNA", at positions 141 to 355 of the family's 1533-position model. The record is from RNAcentral. Lineage: Bacteria; Bacillati; Bacillota; Bacilli; Caryophanales; Staphylococcaceae.